CCUACGGGAGGCAGCAGUGGGGAAUUUUGGACAAUGGGCGCAAGCCUGAUCCAGCAAUGCCGCGUGGGUGAAGACGGCCUGCGGGUUGUAAAGCCCUUUUAGUGGGGAAGAAAGCCUCGAGGGGAACAGCCUCGGGGGGUGACGUUACCCACCGAAAAAGCACCGGCCAACUCCGUGCCAGCAGCCGCGGUAAUACGGAGGGUGCGAGCGUUAAUCGGAAUUACUGGGCGUAAAGCGCGCGUAGGCGGUGCGCUAAGUCCGCUGUGAAAGCCCUGGGCUCAACCUGGGAAUGGCAGUGGGGACUGGCGCACUCGAGUGCGAGAGAGGAGAGUGGAAUUCCCGGUGUAGCGGUGAAAUGCGUAGAGAUCGGGAGGAACAUCGAUGGCGAAGGCAGCUCUCUGGAUCGACACUGACGCUGAGGGGCGAAAGCGUGGGGAGCAAACAGGAUUAGAUACCCUGGUAGUCCACGCGGUAAACGAUGAGAACUGGAUGUCGGGAGGGUUUGCCUUCCGGUGUCGUAGCUAACGCGAUAAGUUCUCCGCCUGGGAAGUACGGCCGCAAGGUUGAAACUUAAAGGAAUUGACGG
RNAcentral lists this ribosomal RNA (586 nucleotides) under uncultured bacterium. RNAcentral's name for it is "bacterial SSU rRNA". It matches the Rfam family "Bacterial small subunit ribosomal RNA", at positions 338 to 916 of the family's 1533-position model. The record is from RNAcentral.